UUAAUAAUAGCUCAUCUCUACGCCUCUCUCUCUCUUUCUCUCUCCUCUCUCUCUCUCUCUCUCUCUGCCCUUCUCCAUAUCAACUUUUAGAAAGCGGCAGAAAAUGAAAUUCUCCGUGAAGAGGGGUAAUGGAAGCUUGAAUCCUCUAUCCAAAGGGGAUGACGUGUGGGGUGGGUGAAGAUGCGAUUUUUUUAGGGUUUUUUAUUUUAUUUUUCCAAAUUUUGCAAGCGGAAAGGGUUUUGAUGCAUAUGCAGAGAGAAAGCUUCAAACUUGGAUUUGAUGUAAGUUUAUUAACUGAUUCGAAGCUCCUCCAUUUUAAAUUCUUGUGUGAUGUUCUAUUCCCAUGCAAAGAGGUUUUCUAUUUCUCUUCGUUUUUAACCUGCUCGAUUAAUUUAUCUCUGUGUGUGUGUGUGUCUGUGUGUGUGUGUCUGUGUGUGUGUGUGUGUGUGUGUGUGUGUGUGAAUAAGAGAAGAAAUACAAAAGAAUCUCAAACAAGUUGGGCUGAUUGUUUCUGAACUCGUGUACAAAUCAUAUUUUCUCCACAAAAGUCUGAAUCUGAGAUCCAUGUGUGUAAUACAUAUAUAUAUGUGUGUGUGUGUGUGUGUGUGUGUGUGUGUGUGUGUGUGUGUAGAAUUGCAGAAGGAAUAUAUAUUAUAUAAUAAAAUAUGAGGCUGUAAAAAUUGGCAGGAUAUGUGCUUUGUUCUUCCUUUGGCUGUCAUGGUGUCUUUUAUUUAAAAUGGAGAAAGUCGUCUUGCACUCGUUUGUUCCGUGUCCUGCAAAUACGAGAGACUCUAGUUUUAACAAGCUUGCAAAAAGAAAUAGAGUAUUGAAUUACAUAUCAAAUAUGUUCUCGUUUCAACAUUUUCGAUUCGAAGCACAUUUUGCAUCUCAUGCAUGUGUAGAGAUAUGUAAAAUGUUCAGGCGUAUGGAAAGUGUAGAGGGAUGGGAAGCUACAGCAUAUUAUACUUCAUAUAUGGGUUCAAAAAACGGUUAGGCGUAUCUAUAGAGCCCUAAUAAGAGAUACUAAAGUAAGCAGUUAAGAUUGGUAUUCCACCCUCGUGAAUUGUUCUAUUUUUGUUGAAACGUUAGGAUCGGUGUUAGAAAAGAUGCUAGAAUAUAAAGAUGAGCUAAAAUGAAGCAAUGUGUUUCCAAUGGUUGUUUGGUGCUAUUUUUGAGUACUUUGGAUUUUGGAAACAAGUUCGAAAGGUACGUUUCCUUGUCUCUUACAAAUUUUAAUAUCUCAAGUCCCUUUGCUCGACAACAAUUUCAAGAAAAUAAUAGAACCACUUUAGAGGUGAUUGACAAAUUGACUAACAAGAAGAAUCACUUUGCCUUUUAGGGGUGGACCUUCAUCGGGACUUACCGAAAUCCAUUUUAUGAGUUUUAUCUUAUUUAACAUGUAUUAGGUGCAUUUUUUUUUCGAGACUUUAACAUUGUGCGGUUUACAAAAGAAAAGAGAUUCACAAAAGGUCUAAUCAGGCUCAAUAAUUGGUGUAUGGACAAUAUUGGUACAAAUGUGAUUUAAUACAUGAAUCAAGAUUUAAAUAGAGCCAAAAUCAAAUUGUCGAAUGUGGUACGAGACAAGGAGAACCUUUUUUAACUAUUGUUAUUUUCGUUUGAUAUCAUUUUUUUUGUGGACACAUUUCAUGUUCGUCUAGAGUCACAUGCUAUGCAAUAAAGAGGAGUUCUUGCCUCGAGGUUGCUAUGAAAGAAAACGAUGAAGUGUAGGAGAGUUAAACGUUUAGUAGAUGUUGAUUAAAAGUACGUUUUAUGUUUAAAUUUUAGUCUAAAGGGACAAUUUUGGAUGUGCCCAUUCCUUUCAAGCCCAUUUGAGAAUGCCUAUUCUCAUUCUUGCAUGUAUUAACUAAUCGAUUACGAUAAAUUGGAUCGGAUUUUGCUGUUUUUUCUUCAUUUUGAAUAAUCCGGUGUAUUAUGAAUCAUGUUUUUGGUAUUGUUGCUACGUGCCUCUGAACUCACAUGAUAUAUAAUCUCUAUUUUCAAUGUUGGUCCAUUGGUUGAACUUAUUAGUCGAACUUGGUAACUGUUUACGUGGUUUGAAAACCAACUCGACAGUGCCACAUUUAGGUCUGUAGUUUAAUCAAACUCCAAGAACUUUGGACCAAUUAGUUGGACGGUCUGUUUUGAUCUGUAGGGAAGCUCGUUUCCCCUUUUUUUUUUCUUUUUUAAUUUCUGAACUCUUUUCUAUGUAGAAGGCCAAAAUCUAGUCUUGCUCCAAAACCCGUAACUCUAUUUUCAUCAAAAACACGUAGCAUGAAGCACAAUGUUUCUAAAUGCAGGGCCGACUAAAUAUCUCUCUUUCUUGGUCUCUUCUACACCAAAACUAUGUUCCUAAUAGUAUUGAAUUUUUUUAGACUCGUGUAGGAUUUUGAGUGGAACUUGUGAGUACUAAAAUGGCGAAUGCAGGUAUUAGCUGCUAGUUAUAAUGCAUAAACCACUUUGCAUACGGGUGACCAGAAUGUAUAAAUCCUGGAGUAGUAUCGCAAGUUAAAUCAAUUAUUCUAGUUAAGUGGGAAGUUAAUAUACCGUGUUUAUCUUCUCACUCUUAAGAGUCACCGAAAAUCAAGAACACUAUAUAUUCCCCUUGAGCUUUACAAUAUCCUCUAUUCCAAAUAGGAAGAAGAGAACCAACUUGUUUAUGUUUCUUCCCUUAAAACAUCGACUUGGUACGUUUAAAAGCAAGUAGGAAAAAUAUGCAUUCAUCAUCUAGUUUCUUUUCUCUCUACAAUGUGAAUCCACGUCAACAACUAAAGGAAGCCUAAUUUUUCAGGUGAAGAUUAUUCCACCACGUUUGCGGAGAUAGUUUUCUUUUUGUAUGCAAUGAUAAAAGAGGCGUGGGCUAAAGCAAAGCAUAUAUAUUUUCCAUAUAUGUUCAAGCGUAAAAACAGAGCAAUAUUUAACGGUGAUACAGAAGAGGGUUCAAGCAGCUUACACCAUGCAACGAGUGCCUCGCUCACAAUAAAGAGGUAUAUAUUCCUCUAGCAGCUUUUAUUUAUACCUGCAUGCAUUUUUAUGAUUCUGCAGAUUAUUUAUUUUUAUUUUACACAUAAAAGUUUGAAGGAGGUCCGUCCGGUGUUGUAUGCUUCUAUUUGUCGUUUAGCCGUCUGCGGCAAUGUUGAGAUCUAUCACCACCUUCUUUUUCUUAGCACACUUAUUGCCUUCAACAAUCUGUAAUAUGUAAAACAAUUGUGUCUAAUAAAUUCAUUUGUGUCAUCAUAAUAUAUAUAUAUAUAUAUAUAUAUAUAUAUAUAUAUAUAUAUAUAUAUAUAUAUAUAUGCAGGGUUUCAACUUUAAUAACCUCGUUGAAAUUCUUUUUUUCUUCUUCCAGCAUCUUUUCCUGUUCACAUAAUAUAAGCACUUAUCUUACUUCACAUGAACCAAUUGUCCGCAAUAACAUGCUCUAUGCAUCUAAGCUUUUAUCUUUUUUCACACACACACACACACACUGGAGAAUACUCGGAUAACAACAAUUUCCCUGCAAUAUAAUAGUGGCAAAAAUAGAUUUCCGCACCUUUUCCUGAAGGCUUGACUGAGCAUCCGUCAUCAUUUUUGUCUGCAUGAAGUAAUAAAUUAAUAAAUUCUGACAUCACAAUGUUGUAUGGAUGGAAAUUAACUUUAAUAUGUUUUUACAGGUUGACAAGAAACUGGAAAGAAGUCUACUAGUCUACUGAUGUUCGAACAUUCUUGCCACAUAAGCUCAGUUCAUCAAAAAGGUAAACAAAAACUACUAUAUGAAUUUGACUUCUCUAGUUCAUGAAAUCGCAUUGAUAUACCACACACACAUUCAUAACCCACUCUUGAACAAACUAUAUGAGAUAAAAGUUAACGAGAAUAUCAAUGUUUUAAGACAAAUGUAUCAUUGCUUUGCUUGGUUCAAAAGAAAAACAUAGAGAAUCGAACAACUGCUGGUCUGAAUGAGGUAUGACCGUAUGAUGAAUUUUCUCUUAGCAGAAUACUUGUUUAAGUGCACUUUAUAUGUUUGGGGUCACAUUUGUUUUCUACAGUUCAUUGAGUAAACAAAUUAGUAGAAUAUACAAAGGGACUGCAAAAUAUGAUGGAGAGUGAAGAUGAAACCUUAGUCAAACGUAUCUCCAUUAAUGCAGUCUCAAGUUGUUUCUGCAUGAGACCAAGGUCCGCCACACUUAGCUUCUCAACACGUGGCUCCUUAAGUUCACUAUCGGAAGAAAUAUAACUUGUGAGUAGACAACCCCGAAAACUUUGCAACAAAAACAAAAUAAAAUUAUUCAGAAAUCGGGAGUUACCUUCCAACAGUUUUGAGAAGCUCACCAUAUGUAAGAUAAUCACCGUUUUUGGAGUACAGAUCCUGCCAAUCAAUCACCUUGUGAAAUGAAUGCCCUUAUAUGUAGAUUAGUGUGUAUAUUUUUGAAGAAUUUCUUCUUUUUACAAAUUUACAACUAUGUUCCCAUCUCUUAUAAAGAGAGUCGGCUCACUCUAUAAUAUUAUUAUAUGUCUGGCAUUUCUAUAAUAUUUCGUCUGACCAACCCCCUGCCUUUUCUAUAUUGACAUGGUGUCGACUGUCGAGUGUCGAGUGUAUCCAGGGAGAGUUGGAUUUUUUAUAUAAAAACCCAAAAAAAAAAAAAAAAAAAAACGAAAUUUUUGAAAAUGAAUCUCAAAAUCUACUUUGUAACCAUAAUUUCCGAGUAGUCCUCUUUGUUUUGUGACAAUCUUCGUGUUGUCCUCUAUGCUGUUAAUCUUGAAUCUUGUUAUUACAGCUCUUACUGCUCCGUCUUUUGUUACACUGCUAUCGAUUCUGCUACUUGUGGGAACCCUAGGUAAUGAAGAAAUUGUUGUAGUCAUGAACUAAUAAUAUCUACUUAUUCAUAGACUCUAGCUCGAGGGGAGUGUUACGUAACUUAAGCAGUUCCAACUUGAGGUGAGCAUUGGUGUCUAUAUAUUAUAGAAGUAUUGAACCUCCUUAGUCAGCAAAUUUUCAUUUUAACUUGACCCUAUAUUUUGAUUUUGUCUUUACUCGGAAUCCAAAUUUUAUACAAAUGUUCCUCUACUCCGUAUUUUUUUUUUCGUCUUUUCACAAAGACCUAAUUUUGUGUCGACUAAUAUGGUUAAUUAGGUAGGUCGACCUCAGAGCUAGGUGGACUACUGACUAAUAUGUUGUUACGUAUAUAAAUAAAUAAAUGUAUAUAUGAAUGGAUGUUGGUGGUUGACUAAAAUCAACUAUGUUGGUCGACUAAUUUAUCGUUACGUGUUAGAAGAUUAGCAGAUCACAGAUCGAGAAAGAGAGCGAGCAAACGGCAAUAGAUUCAAAACCAUCUAUCAAAGUAUCAUGAGCACUAAUAGAAAAAAUCUUCUGUCAUCUGACCAGAUUUUGUAGGCAUUGUCAUGAAACUAAGUAGAUUUUCGAAAAAAGGAACACUAGAAAACAAAUAGUGACUUAGAGAGCAAUAGCUCGAGAUAAGGCAUAUAUUAAGAACGAGUAAAUUAAGAAUAAAAAGAAGGGAUUGCAAAUGAAAAUUUAAACUUACGGUACAUUCGGCUAGAAAGGAAUUGAUUUAGGAAUUUCAUAUCCAAUGCUAUCAUUUCAGUUGUUUUUUGAGCAAUUGUGCGGGAUUACAAAUCUCUCGUUUCAAAUCCCUAAGUCCAAAGUGCAUAAGGCGCCAUUUGGGUGGAAUGAUUUGAUUUGGAGAAUGAAUUUGAAAUAACGAUUUAGAAUAACUCCAAUUUUGAGAUAAUUGAAAUCCACACGAAUGACCCAAUUUAUAACUAAAAUGGUGGAGUGUGGAUUUGAAAUUCUUCAUCAGAUCUCUCAGUUCAAACAAGUGCAAGAGAUUUAUUACUAUAGAUUUGAAAUCCCUGGUCCAUAUCCAAAUGGAGCUUAAGAGACUUUACUUCAAACAAAAAAAUUGCCUUCCUACUUUAGUUCUAAGUAAUGAAUCACGUCCGCUAGUAGAUUUAUUUCUAUCUUUGGAAGAAUUAUUAGGCCUCAAACAUCACACGAGACCGAUGUCUAUAAAAAUUCCAAACACCACAUAUCUCAACGAAUAAACAUCAAUCAAAAUCAUGUAUUUAAUAAUAUCACCCAUCUAUGCAUAUACGAGAGUGAAGUUGAAUUAUCCGAUCGAACUCCUAUUCUCAGAUUAAAUGACAAAAGACCAACAGUCAUAUAACAUUCUUGAAAAAUUACGGAAUUAUCUUACCUAAUUGAUAAGCGAUAAUAUUUCAAAUUUCAUUAAUGAUCAAUGUUUUGACAAUAUAAAUCUUGAGUAAGACCUGAGUAUUAAGUUUUUUUUUUUUUUUUUUUUUUUUUCUUUCGAAAUCCAUCUUCGGGCGUAAAUCUUACCUCUGUAUCGCAACCAUCAUUCUCACUCUCGAUUCGACUUUUAUAUUCUUGCAGGACCUGCGAUAUGCUGUUUAAUAACAACAGUAAAACAUGAUCAAGGUAUUAUAAUGCUCAUGCCAAAACAAAAUAAUAUUGAGGUAAAACCAAAAGAAGAAUAAAAAUGCAAUUGGAAUAAAGUUAAGGCAAACAAGAAAUGGCAUGAUCUUUCACUAAGAAACAAAAUCAUAUGUACGUUAUCAAAUAUGGAAUGUUGGAAAGUAGAAAAGGAAACAUUCUUAAAUUGUCUAGAAUUUAGAGUACAUUCAUUCCUUACAAACAGACAAUAUGUUGCUAGUACAUAUAAUAUCCAUUUGUUCCUUUUUCUUUCUUUUUUUGAUUAAAAAAUGAAAUAAAAAUAAAUCUUCGCUUAUAUAUGAGAGUCUUAAAAUGUGACCAAUCGACCAACCAAUAAGCAACGUGACACUCUAAAUAAGCUCAAGUUUUCACGUCUAAAAUAAAAAGUGAGGAUUGUAAUACACUUUUGUUACAUAGGAACUAAUGUAAGAUAGGCGUAAGAGAACAAGAAAAGCGAUAUCAAGGUGCAAAAAUGAAUUCAUGAUCAGUCGAAGAAAACAUGAUCAAAAGAGGAUAUGCCGAUUACGAGUAAGAACUUGCAGCCAGUGUUAACUUGGAAGCUCGAGUACAAUAAUCUUCUUCCAACAAGACACGUUUUGCGUAGAGGGUCGUGAAAUUACCCGUUCGAGACCAUUUAAUUCCUUGGGUUUUUUCCUUUUUUUUUUUUUGUUGGUUUUUUUCAAAUGUAGUCAUCAGAUGCAAAAUAUGUCUCUCUAUAUAGCUUGAACUUUGAAAAAAAUAAAAGAAAGUUUAAUGGAAGGACCAAAACUUGAUAAUAUCCAGAGUGUGUG
Molecule: long non-coding RNA, 7239 nt
Filed under: Erythranthe guttata (spotted monkey flower)
Lineage: Eukaryota; Viridiplantae; Streptophyta; Magnoliopsida; Lamiales; Phrymaceae
Description: long non-coding RNA (EGUT_LNC001646)
Source: RNAcentral